RNAcentral lists this long non-coding RNA (2321 nucleotides) under Nicotiana tabacum (common tobacco). Its description in RNAcentral is "long non-coding RNA (NTAB_LNC000070)". The record is from RNAcentral. Lineage: Eukaryota; Viridiplantae; Streptophyta; Magnoliopsida; Solanales; Solanaceae.
UCAUUUUCCAUAGCUGCUACACACAGAACUCUUAUGUAUAUAUGCUGAGUGACCUGCUUAAGGCGACUAUUGUUUCGACUAUCCCUGACUCUCUUCUUUGUUUGUAUCAAAUUCGUUCCUUCUUUCCUUCUAUUUCUUUUCCGAGUUUCUUCUCUGUCACUAUGGUAUUUUUCCAUCGAUCCUAUGUUAGUAUUCUUGCUUCUUUGUUGCUUUGGUUCUCUUACAUGCUUUCUUUAUCUCUUUAUUUUUCUUUUUGGUUGUUUGAUUAUGAUUAUAACCUGAUGCGACAAUGAUGAGAAAAUCUCUUAGAUUGAGUAACUUUUGGAUUUGAGACAGCUCAAACUGGGAGAUAUGGUCAAGCCUUUUCUUUGGCUUUUGUAUUUGUGGAAUGAAAGUAUGAAUUAUUGACUCUAAUUUUUCUCCCUAAUAUUUAAGAUUCCUUAUCAUAGUCGAUGAACCAAAAUAACAGUGAAAAUGAGAAGAGAAAUAAGAAUUGGGCAGGAUUUAUUUUCACACUUUCUUUAUGUUUUUUCUAUUAAAUUUUGAUCUGCGUCACUAUUUUGGCAUCUGAUUUAUGUAUUUUCUGGUUCUUUAAUUCUAUUGCCGCCCGGGGUUGACCUUUUGUUAACCUUUCCCAUCUCUGUUAUCUUGGAUGGAAUAAGGGCUUACUGAAAGCUAUUAGCAUAUGCCGAUCCGAGAACUUUAGAAACAUAUUCUUAUCUGACCUUCAAAAAUAACCGGCAAGAGAAACUUUUAGUAAUAGAAAUAAGAUUUGAUCAAAAUUAUGUCCGAUUGUAGCACACAUACAUUCUCCAGCUUUGAGGUUCAUUAACCAAUGAUUUUCGCAAUCUCAAAUCUAGAGAUUGUGUGUUUCCUUUGAUUGCUUGCAUCACGAAAGUUGAGAGGCAUAUUCAUUUUUACCAAAAUGAGGAUAAACAAGAGAGUACUUUUAGUUGCUGACAGAAUAUAGUUUGGUGGUGAAUAUCUGGGUAAUUUGGUUGACUGUAAUGUUAGUUAACAUGUACAUUAACUAUCCUAUUUAGAUUCAAAAGGUAUUAUUUUCUUCAUUCUUAAGUAAAUAAAUUUAAUUAGUUGGAUAUGGUUUAUUGAAGGAACUGAAAAUUGCUGUAACUUUUUUUGCUUCCAUGUCCCUUUGCCAGAAGAUGAGGCACUACUCACGAAAGUGGAGCUUGAAAUUAAAUCUGUCAAGAAAGAUCUUGCCAUAGGUUCCAAUUGCUUCUCUUCUUAUCUUUACUACUAAUACUUCCAUCAAUAUUUGAAAACAUAUUUAAAAAUCUUAUUGGGCAGAGUCGAGUCAUAUAAUUUUUGUAUGUGUUUGUUUUCCUCCUUAAUGUUGCUUCUCAGUGGUAAGAGUAGAGGGGCGGGCCCAUUAUCCACCGAGUUUCGAAGGCUGCGGUUGGUCCAAAGGAUCGGCCCUAGACGGAUUUCUCGGUCAUCAAAAAAAUGACUUGGUGAAUUUUAGUUCAUUGCUAGAUUGACCAAGCAAUGUACAAUAUAUGGAUGGAUAUCUGAAGGACAAGUAGUGCAAGUCUCUUGAGCUAUGUUGCACAGACUCUCCAAAAUAUUGUCGCACCCGUGUUGGAUCCUCGAAAAAAUCCACUACUUUAGGAGGAUCCGACAUGCACCCGGAGAUAUUUUCAAAGAGUCUGAACAACAUAGCUCUUGAGCCAUUCGCUCAUUAAACAAUAUGCUGGUGAUUCUGCUUGGAGGCAUUUAAAUUAUAUUGGUCAAUAUAUAAGUUGCUAAAUAAAAAUUCUCCAUUAUCUCAUCCUGUGAUGAUAGAAUUUUACUAGAUCUCAGUAAUAAUAGUAUUACUGUGUGGCUUUGCAGAAUAUGAAAGGAGAGCAAGAAGUUACUUUGGUGAUUAGUAAAGUAACAACAGGUAGAAACGGCAGGAGACAGAAUAGUGUCUUUAUUGUAAGAGUUGAAUCAAAGCAAAAAUAAUCUGGUGCUAGCUCGAUGUUGGUGAAUGAUGAAUAUCGUGUAAUAUCUCAUGUUAUGUCUUUUUUAAGCUGUUAUCUUUUUAGCUUUUGAAGUUAGUAAUUUUGAGAAGCAAAGUAAUCGGUCAUACUAAAAAUCUUUAAUGUACUGUAUAUAACCAAAUGAAGUUGUAAUUUGUCUACAGCUUUUCAUUUAGCACCCAUUUAUAUUCAAUUUAUGCAUUCCAAUUAUUUAUAGCCUAAGUUUAUGCCUGUAUGAAGUACAUAUUAGAUUUUAGAGUAUGACCGAGUUAAGAGUAUAUCAUCUCAAGAGCCGCUCUCCAAUCUAGUUUAUAAUAGAAAAGCUCAAGUUUAGACGUG